Molecule: unclassified non-coding RNA, 229 nt
Filed under: plant metagenome
Description: partial contains small subunit ribosomal RNA, internal transcribed spacer 1, and 5.8S ribosomal RNA
Source: RNAcentral
UCUCCGUAGGUGAACCUGCGGAGGGAUCAUUACAGAGUUCUCGCCCUCGCGGGUAGAUCUCCCACCCACUGUAAUCGUUACUGUGUUGCUUUGGCGGGCCGCCGGGCCCCGCUCGGCCGCCGGCUCCGGCGGGCGCGCGCCCGCCAGAGGCCCAGCAAACUCUGAAUGUUAGUGUCGUUUGAGUACUAUAUAAUAGUUAAAACUUUCAACAACGGAUCUCUUGGUUCUG